Molecule: ribosomal RNA, 253 nt
Filed under: uncultured bacterium
Lineage: Bacteria
Description: partial 16S ribosomal RNA
Rfam family: Bacterial small subunit ribosomal RNA
Source: RNAcentral
UACGUAGGGUGCAAGCGUUGUCCGGAAUUAUUGGGCGUAAAGAGCUUGUAGGCGGUUUGUCGCGUCUGCUGUGAAAUUUUGGGGCUCAACCCCGAACUUGCAGUGGGUACGGGCAGACUAGAGUGUGGUAGGGGAGACUGGAAUUCCUGGUGUAGCGGUGAAAUGCGCAGAUAUCAGGAGGAACACCGAUGGCGAAGGCAGGUCUCUGGGCCAUAACUGACGCUGAGAAGCGAAAGCAUGGGGAGCGAACAGG